Long non-coding RNA from Nerophis lumbriciformis (worm pipefish), 850 nucleotides. RefSeq lists it as uncharacterized. NCBI's taxonomy places the organism in Eukaryota, Metazoa, Chordata, Actinopteri, Syngnathiformes, Syngnathidae. The record is from RefSeq and is a predicted model, not a curated record.
UGUCUGUCUUGUUGAUUAUGACACCUGUUGAAUGAAGAGAGCGUCCUGAAGGUGAAGAUGUGAUGAAAAGUUGGCACUCGCCGUCGUGACAAAUGUACACACUGACAGCAGACAGCGACUUUUAGGGAAACUGCUACCUGAGGGCUCGGAGUGAGAAAAACUACAGAUGUCGGACAUUUUUCAAGUUUUUACUCAAGGCACAAGCGAGACUUUGCAGCGACCAAUCAGAUGAGCUCCUUUGGUCAUCACUCCUCUGCACCAGGGUUCCUAAACACGCCUCCCAGCGGCCAAGUAGACUCACCGACAAGGAACUCGCAUGGCUGCGGUUUUUGUGACCCCAAGAUGCAGGAACCAGGAGGACAAAGAGAAGGCGUCAACACAAAGCCUGUUUGGGCUACAAACACACGGAUCCUGCAGCUCUGAGGAUGAUGGCGAUGAUGGCGAUGGCGCUCUGCAUCAACCUGCACGCACCUGACACUUGCAGCAAGAUAAGAUUACAGGCUCGUCUGCAGGCGGCCUAAUGAGAAGGAGGAGGACACGUCACACAAUCACAUUGGAAGUGAGUUCACUUCCUGUUUGGCUCCACCACUCUGGCCUGAGCGCCGUCUCUGAUUGACCAUCAAGACACUCACCUGCUCCUGAUCACUAAUCAGAGAGCUACAGUACGUGUGACAGCUUUUCAAGACUCUUCUUACCUGCACGUCGUCUCCAGUCUGCACACCUUGAGGUGACAACCGCCGCAGCCUCACCAGUACGUGACAGUUUCUUCUUCACAAAAAUAAUAAUGCAUCAAAAUCAGUGUUAUGAGUUGUUGACCUUUUGAAGACCUCAUUUAAAGUAUUCCAGUUUG